Long non-coding RNA from Herpailurus yagouaroundi (jaguarundi), 3431 nucleotides. RefSeq lists it as uncharacterized. The transcript is spliced from 2 exons. The record is from RefSeq and is a predicted model, not a curated record. NCBI's taxonomy places the organism in Eukaryota, Metazoa, Chordata, Mammalia, Carnivora, Felidae.
CAGCCCGAGGCAGGCGAGGUGGAAGGCUCCGCAGCAGGGCCCCUCGCACAGCAGGAGGCUGCCCGGCUUCUCGCACAGCUGCGGGGCCGGGCGGAGGCGCGGCGGUGAGGACGCCCGGGCGACCCCCUCCCCCCCCACCCCCCACCCCCACCCCCACCCGGGCCCGCCCGCGGCUCCCCUGCCUCCUCCAUCCACGCCCGACUUCGCACGUUCGGAACACGCGUGCGCCACACGUCGCCACACGGCGGUGACACGUAACAGCCUCACGCGGACGCCCGAGCCCGGCCGGGGCGCUAGGUCCCGGGUCCCCCCGCGGCCCGGCGCCCUCACAACAGAAGCCCGUGUGACCGCGGGUGCGAGUGCGGGCCCGGGCCCGGGUCAAGGACAAAAGCAAGCGGCGGCCGACCCCUCACCUGACACACGUACUCCUUUUUGGCGGCCACGCCCCGCUCAGACUUCUUGGAGGAGACAGACGCUUCGGUCUGGGUCUCGUCGGCGCUCUCGUACGGGGACUCGGCGGGCUCGUCUCCCGGGCCGUCCGACACCUGGGGGCGAAGGAGGCGGCACAGGUCACCAGUGCGGGCGGAGGCGGCCCGACUCCUGCUUGGCUGCGGCCCGACUGCCAGCUCCUGGCCGCAGAGGCCCGGUGCCCACGGUUUCCUGGGAGGGCGCGGCGGGUCGACCGAACUGUAACUGUGCGGAGGCUCAGAAGCGGACUUCGCCCUCUCCGCGCGGGCAGAAGGGGCACAGAGGCACGUGUCUUCGCGUUCCUGCCAUCCUGACCAAGGAAGGAACUGGUGAAAACCCCACGUGCCCCAGCAGGUGACCUGGGACGGGCCCGGGACUGGGAAUCUUGACCUCUGUCGCCCAGUCGCUUACGGCCCAGCUUUUCACAGUAAGAGAAGCAGAUCAGCACCCAGUGACUUUCCAGAAGAGCCAGAGCGAGGGGGCAGGAGGGGAGCCUCCGCACGGCGGGCCCGGCCGCUCCUGGAAGCCGCCAGCACACGCAGUGGGCCGCGACUAACGGGCCGUCCCGACUUGCCCUCUGCCUGCCGCCCGUGGUCCCCGGACGGGUAAGCGGGCGAAGGCAAGGUCAAACCUGCCGGCUCUGGUAACGCGUGAGCCCAAGAGAAAGCCUUGGGAGAAAAACAUGGCAAUCGUGGAGCAAACAAAAGCCCCCCCCACCCCCACCCCCCGCCCCAUCCCGGUCGUAUUUCAUCCCCCUUCAUCAUCAGGGAUCAAGGAGACCAGGCUAAAGCCUCCCUCUCAUCACUGUAUGCAACGUCUUGCCCUCAUUUGAGGAGCAAGAAACCUCUAAAUAGAAAUCAAAUCUUUAGUACGAAAACAUUCUAUACCAAAUUGAAACUGAAAAAAAAAAAAAACACCUAAAAACACAUUUAGCAUUUAUUUGACGUUAGGUAAAUGGAAUGUUGAAUACUGAGUUUUUCAACACAGCAGAAGUAUAAACUACAUUUCCUGUAUACCUUGAUAACCACGACAAGUAAUUAUGUUAUAUAUAGGCCUGCCGUUUACCAAUGACUACAAAGCUAGAAAUUAAAAUCGGGCCACAAUUAAACAAAACAGAACAAACCCCACCAGCCAACCCACCCAAUUCUGUAGUCUUAUCAAUUAACCUCCUCCAGACUUAGCUCGAUGAAAUUACAGGGAACAGAAAAACACCCCAAAACACUUAGAGCUGGUGUUAGCGGGCUGGUCUUUGAGGGACACGCUGCCUCUGGCUGGUGUGUGCAUCGGUUGGCGGGGGGGGGGGGGGGGGCGGCGGGGGCAGGAGGUCGGGCCCAGCUCUCCGCCCUUGCUCCUCUAUGCUGACCCCUCCCGCAGUAACACAGUCUCAGGAGGAAGCCGCCUUUACACUCCAGUUCCUCACCUUUUCCAGGAAGACAGAAACAGCGGCAUGAACGUACACUAAGUUAUGGGGGUCUCACACAGUAGUAGGUCCCCCCUGCCCCCCAGGCUGGCCAGAUGGUGCCCCUCCCUAUCAGCUCAGCACAUUUACUCCUUUAUCAUCAACAUCCAGAAAGAAGGCAACUUGAUAAAAAAAAAAAAAAAAAAACACCCUCUGCGUUCAAACCCCAAUUUUAACAUGUCCAUCGUAUUCGGAGUCACGGAUGGGCGGGGUCUGAGACGCUAGGGGUGCUGGGGAGCCCGGGGCGUUGGGAACACCAGCCACACCUCGGGGCCCCGGUCAAAGGGCAGCCCAAGGCUGACCCGUCUGACGAGGAACCGAGGCCCAGAGAAAGGGCCUUCAACAGGGGCUCAGGGAAAGCGAGCCCAGUGCCCUGCCCACCAACCCACAUUCUUCCCUUCAAUGUGGUCGGAACAAAUUUAAAGCUUUACAAAAAAAAGAAAAAAAGAAAAAAAAAAAAAAGGAAAAAUGCAUGGAGAGAAAGACAGAAAACACAGACCAGUCCUGGGUCGAAGAAAGGAACAGCACCUUUUAUUUAAGAUUUACAGAAAAAGUUAGCACGUUUCCACUUGGAGAUAUUUCCUAAAUUAACAAAGUCUGUUUUGAGGAAAUAAACACUGAAUACAUAUUUUGAAUGGAAAUAUAAAUGUUAAGACACACAUGAGGCUUGUUUCCUGAUUGGGGUCUAAGAUACACAUACAGAAUACAGACCUUACAAUAUUACAGUCCGUGACACAGAUGCGGGAGAUUGCGACCUUCGGCCCAGCGAACCCCUUCCCAGCGACCCAACGACCACUAGCACAGUCGGAGGGAUCCACCGGCUCUCCGCUCGGCAGACCACCCACAAGAGGAGCAAAGUACGCGGGCACCGUGCCAGCCUCUACUCCGGGUGCAGGGCUCCGCCUCCACGGGCACCAGGUGACGGUACUUACUCGGAGAUGCCGUUUGUGAAAGCGACACCUUCACCCGAAUGGUCCCAACACGGUCCCAAAUCUCAGUCUACGACAUCUACGGUCUAUUCCAUAUCCAAUAGGAUGCAUUUGGAAAGAGAGAAAUGUAGUAACUGAACGGACACAGACUGUCAACAACUUUCCCGUCGCUUCCCGAUCCACCAAAGCCACACCUGUGGCACGGAUUUCCAAGCAGCUUAGUUCCUGACUUCUCCAAGUUUUCUGGAGUCUGAAAACACUUUCUCUACCCUCUACUCAGUAUGUGAUAGUAUCAAAUUGCCUAUUUGCCUUAGAAAUACGUUCCUUUAGGGGCAGGGAAUGCUGUCUCCACAGUAAAGCAGGGAUUUUUCAAGAUGAUAUUAAUGAACACAAAGUAACCUAGUGAACAUAUUUGAACCAACUUCAGGAAACAAUGUAGCCAUUUAGGGGGACUAACGAACCCCAGUCCUCUCUGCUGUGACUGGGGGGGGGGGGAACGCGCGGCCUGUGCCUCAGACGGCAGGGUACAGAGUGAUUUUUAAAUUUUUUGACAAAACAAAUCCCUUCACAAAUCG